Molecule: transfer RNA, 61 nt
Filed under: Archipsocus nomas
Lineage: Eukaryota; Metazoa; Arthropoda; Insecta; Psocodea; Archipsocidae
Description: tRNA-His
Source: RNAcentral
AUUUAAAUAGUUUAUAAAAAAUAAAAGUGUGUGGAACUUUAGAAAUGAUUAAUUUUAAAUA